RNAcentral lists this unclassified non-coding RNA (376 nucleotides) under uncultured Parachlamydiaceae bacterium. RNAcentral's name for it is "contains 16S-23S intergenic spacer region". The record is from RNAcentral. Lineage: Bacteria; Pseudomonadati; Chlamydiota; Chlamydiia; Parachlamydiales; Parachlamydiaceae.
UCCGGCUUAUCACCGGCAGUCCCACUAGAGUGCCCAACUAAAUGUUGGCAACUAAUGAUAAGGGUUGCGCUCGUUGCGGGACUUAACCCAACACCUCACGGCACGAGCUGACGACAGCCAUGCAGCACCUGUGCAGAUGCCCCGAAGGGACUACCUAUUUCUAGGUCAGUCAUCUGCAUGUCAAGUCUGGGUAAGGUUCUUCGCGUUGCAUCGAAUUAAACCACAUGCUCCACUGCUUGUGCGGGUCCCCGUCAAUUCUUUUGAGUUUCAGCCUUGCGACUGUACUCCCCAGGCGGUAUACUUAACGCGUUAGCUACGGCACAACUAGGGUUGAGUCCAGUUACACCAAGUAUACAUAGUUUACGGCAAGGACUAC